CGCCAGGGUAACGCCGCGGACACAUUGCGAGACUAACACAUGGCAGGUGGACCGCCAGAGUAACGCCGCGGACACAUUGCGAGACUAACACAUGGCAGGUGGACCGCCAGAGUAACGCCGCGGACACAUUGCGAGACUAACACAUGGCAGGUGGACCGCCAGAGUAACGCCGCGGACACAUUGCGAGACUAACACAUGGCAGGUGGACCGCCAGAGUAACGCCGCGGACACAUUGCGAGACUAACACAUGGCAGGUGGACCGCCAGAGUAACGCCGCGGACACAUUGCGAGACUAACACAUGGCAGGUGGACCGCCAGAGUAACGCCGCGGAGAGGAGAGGGAGACCGGCGCUGGACGGACGACAUCGUGCAACCGGCUGGCCAACAUUGGACGGAGGCUGCGACACUCCGUGCACCGGACGCAUGCAGUUCUCAAGAGGAGGCUUUCACCUUCGGGUAGUGAGGGGUUCACACAUACAAAUAUCAAAAUGCAUAUAAAAUAUUAACAUUUUUUUUCCCCAAUAGAUCAUUCAAAACUAGAAAUAAGUUUAAUUUUUGUAUUAUUUUUUGUAAGAAAUAAAAGGCUUUUUAAUUUUUUAUUUCUUUUUAUUAUGCGUCUUAUUUCUUUAUUUAUAAAUCAAGUUCCCUGAUAUAUUGACAAAAACUAAAACAACUUAUUAAAUCAAACCCGUAGUUUUUAUUUAUUGGAGUUUUUGGCCAAAACCAUAAAUGUUGAAUAUCUGAGACACGAGCCCCUCGGGCCUGCGCGCGCAGUGCUAGCUGUGCAGUGUGCAUGUUGCUGUAUGGAAGGUGAUAACCUCCCUAGAGGAAUACGUCGAAUUACAAGUCACCCUUUAUAUUUACCGAAAAAUAACCACAACGGGUUCUUGUUAUUUUCUGAUGACAUAUAAAAAUAUAUUAAUAAUAUAAUAGGCACGUUUCUCGAUUCAGGAAUCGAACCGGGAAUCCCUUGCUCAGAAGCCGCACUAGUUAGCGGUCCUCGACCAGCGAGAAAGAUACCCAUCUGUCUCUAGUAGGUAAUAAGAAUUUCAUUAGAUUUUUGAAAAUAAGUUGUAUA
Spodoptera frugiperda (fall armyworm) is the source of this 1078-nucleotide long non-coding RNA. RefSeq lists it as uncharacterized. The transcript has 3 exons. NCBI's taxonomy places the organism in Eukaryota, Metazoa, Arthropoda, Insecta, Lepidoptera, Noctuidae. The record is from RefSeq and is a predicted model, not a curated record.